GCCGGGCACGGUAGUGCGUGCCUGUAGCCCCAGCUAUUCGGGAGGCUGUGGCCGGAGGAUCUCUUGAGUCCAGGAGUUCUGGGCUGCAGUGUGCUAUGCCGAUGGGGUGUCCACACUAAGUUCAGCAUCAAUAUGGUGACCUUCAGGGAGCGGGGGAUCACCAGGUUGCCUAAGGAGGGGUGAACUAGGUCGGAAAUGGAGCAGGUCAAAACUCCCAUGCUCAUCAGUAGUGGGAUCGUACCUGUGAAUAGCCACUGAACUCUAGCCUGGGCAACAUAGCAAGACCCUGUCUCUU
Molecule: unclassified non-coding RNA, 295 nt
Organism: Callithrix jacchus (white-tufted-ear marmoset)
Lineage: Eukaryota; Metazoa; Chordata; Mammalia; Primates; Cebidae
Rfam family: Metazoan signal recognition particle RNA
About the family: The signal recognition particle (SRP) is a universally conserved ribonucleoprotein. It is involved in the co-translational targeting of proteins to membranes.
Source: Ensembl